RNAcentral lists this long non-coding RNA (1350 nucleotides) under Jatropha curcas. RNAcentral describes it as "long non-coding RNA (JCUR_LNC001420)". Lineage: Eukaryota; Viridiplantae; Streptophyta; Magnoliopsida; Malpighiales; Euphorbiaceae. The record is from RNAcentral.
UUUUUUUAAUACUCUCAUUUUCUACAAUUUUCAUAGGAAUACGAGGACCAGUAAUAACAUUCCUCCAGUAGUUUAUAUCAAACUGAUUCCAUGAAAUUUUCCAUUCUGGUUUUUCAAUAAGAGUAAUUAGAACCAUUGAACAAAGGAGGUCUAGAAACAAAUUGACCUUUCAAAGAAGUGAGAGGAAGUGGGGUUACCAUGGGAUCUUAUCUCUUAAGCUGUUAAGCUUCGGUAAGUCAAGAGCCAAAGCUUUGAUACCAGGUUGUGGGUCCCGUAUAUUUGUGGCACAACCCAAGAGGGGGGUGAAUUGGGUUUUCUAAAAAUAAAAAUUUAGCUUUAAAAACAAAACUCAGAAUUCUAAUUGCAGCGGAAAAAAUUAACGAAUUUGUGAAAAUAAGUUAUAGAUUAGAACUUCCUCAUAAUGUUCUAUUCAAGAAAAAUAAAAAGGCUUUGUAAAAUACAACUAUUAAUUAGAACUGCUUCACAAUGUCUUAUUUAAUAUCAGAACUACUUUAUGACGGAAAGCUAUUGAAAUUAGAACUACCUUAUAAAGUUUAGAAAAUCAGAAAAGACUAUGUGAGAAACAGUUAUCGAAAUCAGAACUGCUUCACAAAGAUUUAACCAAGUUUAGAAGACUGAUUAGGAACCCAAACAGUGAAAUAUACUGAAAAUAGAAGAACUGUUUAGAACUUGAUAUAUUCACUUUUAACAGAAUUCCAGAAUUCUAAUGUUCAGAGAAGAUAGAACUUAUUUCAGUUUUAGAACAUCAAAACGAUUAACAACUUUAGCAUUUUUAGAGUAUAAAUAGAAGUGUGAGUAAAAUAGUAUGAAGCAAAACUUCAGAAAUUAAAAAGAUCAACACAGUGAUUUAUAGUGGUUCGGCACUAACUCGCCUACAUCCACUCCCCAAGACUCAUCUUGAGAUCCUCAACUAUGUUAUCUCUUUUCAAGGGUAAGAGACUGUUUUCGUCGAAAAUCCCCCCGAAGGACCCGAAAACAUCCUUUUUGGUUUUUUGAUUAAAUGUUUUUAUUUUGGAUGCGGUGCCGAUAAAUCGGUCUUAUAAACAAUUUUGAGUCGCCACCCAUUGUUUAGGCAAUGAGACCAUUUUUGAAAAUGACUCCAUUUUAAAUCCAAUUUUGUUUUAAGGCUAAAUUAUUUUAAAAGACUGGUCAGGCGCACCAAUGCGAUUCUGGGUAAGGGAAUUGGGUACGUCAGCCCGUUGGAAGCCGACGCCCGGAAAAACCGGCCUCUAUUAUUAACCUAUGUUUUCUAAUUUAUUUUAGUUAGAAAAGCCAAAUUAUUUAUUUACUUAAACCCAACCCAAAUAAAUCGGACCGAGUUCCUAUUUN